GAUGAAGAACGCAGCGAAAUGCGAUACGUAAUGUGAAUUGCAGAAUUCAGUGAAUCAUCGAGUCUUUGAACGCACAUUGCGCCCCCUGGUAUUCCGGGGGGCAUGCCUGUCCGAGCGUCAUUGCUGCCCUCAAGCACGGCUUGUGUGUUGGGCUCCGUCCCCCCGGGGACGGGCCCGAAAGGCAGCGGCGGCACCGAGUCCGGUCCUCGAGCGUAUGGGGCUUUGUCACCCGCUCUGUAGGCCCGGCCGGCGCCAGCCGACAACCCAUCAUCCUUUUCAGGUUGACCUCGGAUCAGGUAGGGAUACCCGCUGAACUUAAGCAUAUCAAUAAGCGGAGGA
This 339-nucleotide unclassified non-coding RNA is filed under the name soil metagenome. RNAcentral's name for it is "partial contains 5.8S ribosomal RNA, internal transcribed spacer 2, and large subunit ribosomal RNA". The stretch from base 1 to 120 matches the Rfam family "5.8S ribosomal RNA", at positions 35 to 154 of the family's 154-position model. The record is from RNAcentral.